Molecule: long non-coding RNA, 1577 nt
Organism: Helianthus annuus (common sunflower)
Lineage: Eukaryota; Viridiplantae; Streptophyta; Magnoliopsida; Asterales; Asteraceae
Exons: 2
Source: RefSeq, a predicted model, not a curated record
UAUUAUUGAAAGUAAUUUAGGUUGUAAUCUAAUUAAUAACUAACCAAACACGAGGGACCAAAGCCGGGUAACUUGAAAAUGAAUUAUAAACUUAAAAAUAAAACACAAACACACACACACAAGAGUAUGUGUGCGUGUGUGAGGAUCGACCAGGAAGAGCUUUAGGGAGCUCAAACCCUAACUUCAACAAAUCCAUCAAAUUGAAGGUCAAAUCUGGUCCAAAUCCGAUGCAUGAACACAUAUUAAUGAUCACCAAGUCGUGGGGAUCACAAGUUUGACGCUCAACGAGCUAGGUGAAAGGCUUGGGGAAGGAAGCGGGUCAAACGAAUCAAGAAUGAAGGAAAAAGCAUAAUUCGGAUGCAAGGUAAGUAUAGCUUACACUAGUCUUAUAUGUUAGAAUAUUCUCUUAUCGUAUUAGUUACGAAUAAGAUAAAUACAUAAUUUAAGUAUGAUGUUCCGACAUGUAAACGUACGGAACAAGGUAGUCGAGCAUGACAAGAAACCGUGUUGAUGGUUUAAAAGAAAUGAAAACGGUAAAUUGGUCAUGCGUUGACCAUAACUAUUUGUUUUGAAAGUCAUUGUAAGGCGUAAGCCAUGAUAGGCUAAAAAGCGUUAAGAAAACGAUUAAUACGUGAAAUGACCACUCGGUGUAAACCGAAGCGAGUCAUAUAGAUGAGAUGGUAAUAAAUAUCAUCUCGCCAUCAUAAUCGGUCACUUAGACCAAAUGGGUCAAAAGGUGAAAAAUAUCACCCUUUGACAAUAACGACUAAUGAUUAUCGUCGAGCUAUAUUAUUUCAGGUGUAAAUGUCAAAUGGGUAUUAGCAACGCCAUGAAUUAGCGGUUAUAAAAGCAAGGUAUUAAAAACGGGUCAAUAGAUUGAUCUGCGCCAGGUAUGUGAAAUAGGGUAACACUCAUUUAGAACAUGUGGUUCAAGAGUGUUAAAAGAGGUCAAAUGGACAUUUGGUUACUUGAUAAGUAAACCAAAUGUUUUAAGUAAUGAACAUAGCGUUUAGAAAGCUUAAUGACUUUUCAAACAAAAUCAUAGGUUAAAAGAGGGAUUAUGGGUCAAAUAUACUUUCAAAAGUCCUUCAUUGUUAAUAAAAGACUAAAAUGGACCAAAACGCCCUUGGAGGCUAAAUUGAACAAACAACCUUUAAAAGUUGUUUGGAAAUGAUUAUUACGAUUAAAUAAAUACAUAGGACAAGUAUAAAAGUUGAAAGAUGUAUUACGUUAGUCAAACGACUCUAUUCGAGUCCUUGCCGUAAAAUAAUGAGUUGAGGGGUAAAACCCGGUUUGCAUAGAUUACCUUAGUAAACACACCAUAAAUAUAGUUGUGGUGGAAGAUCAUUUGAAAAAUAUUGCGAAAUUAAGAAGCUAGAAAUAAAUAAUUAUGAAUUAUGCGGAGAAGUGCUUAAAUACCCUUAACGGGUCAAAAUAAGCAUUUGAGUACAAACGGGUUCAAGAAUAUACAUGAACUCGUGAAUUGAACCUAAUAAGAUAGACAACAUUGAAAUUACAAGAUUUAUGUGACAUAGGAAUCAAACAAAUACGUUUGUUUGGUAAAACCGUGAAUGGGU